AUUGAACGCUGGCGGCAGGCCUAACACAUGCAAGUCGAAUGGUAACAGGAAACAGCUUGCUGUUUCGCUGACGAGUGGCGGACGGGUGAGUAAUGUCUGGGAAACUGCCUGAUGGAGGGGGAUAACUACUGGAAACGGUAGCUAAUACCGCAUAACGUCGCAAGACCAAAGAGGGGGACCUUCGGGCCUCUUGCCAUCAGAUGUGCCCAGAUGGGAUUAGCUAGUAGGUGGGGUAACGGCUCACCUAGGCGACGAUCCCUAGCUGGUCUGAGAGGAUGACCGGCCACACUGGAACUGAGACACGGUCCAGACUCCUACGGGAGGCAGCAGUGGGGAAUAUUGCACAAUGGGCGCAAGCAUGAUGCAGCCAUGCCGCGUGUAUGAAGAAGGCCUUCGGGUUGUAAAGUACUUUCAGCGGGGAGGAAGGGAGUAAAGUUAAUACCUUUGCUAAUUGACGUUACCCGCAGAAGAAGCACCGGCUAACUCCGUG
Molecule: ribosomal RNA, 490 nt
Filed under: uncultured bacterium
Lineage: Bacteria
Description: partial 16S ribosomal RNA
Rfam family: Bacterial small subunit ribosomal RNA
Source: RNAcentral